RNAcentral lists this ribosomal RNA (472 nucleotides) under uncultured Sphingomonas sp. RNAcentral describes it as "bacterial SSU rRNA". It matches the Rfam family "Bacterial small subunit ribosomal RNA", at positions 1 to 525 of the family's 1533-position model. Lineage: Bacteria; Pseudomonadati; Pseudomonadota; Alphaproteobacteria; Sphingomonadales; Sphingomonadaceae. The record is from RNAcentral.
UAGAGUUUGAUCCUGGCUCAGAAUGAACGCUGGCGGCAUGCCUAACACAUGCAAGUCGAACGAAGGCUUCGGCCUUAGUGGCGCACGGGUGCGUAACGCGUGGGAAUCUGCCCUCAGGUUCGGAAUAACAGCGAGAAAUUGCUGCUAAUACCGGAUGAUAUCGCGAGAUCAAAGAUUUAUCGCCUGAGGAUGAGCCCGCGUAGGAUUAGCUAGUUGGUGUGGUAAAGGCGCACCAAGGCGACGAUCCUUAGCUGGUCUGAGAGGAUGAUCAGCCACACUGGGACUGAGACACGGCCCAGACUCCUACGGGAGGCAGCAGUGGGGAAUAUUGGACAAUGGGCGAAAGCCUGAUCCAGCAAUGCCGCGUGAGUGAUGAAGGCCUUAGGGUUGUAAAGCUCUUUUACCCGGGAUGAUAAUGACAGUACCGGGAGAAUAAGCUCCGGCUAACUCCGUGCCAGCAGCCGCGGUAAUA